This 393-nucleotide long non-coding RNA is filed under the name Setaria italica (foxtail millet). Its description in RNAcentral is "long non-coding RNA (SITA_LNC007430)". Lineage: Eukaryota; Viridiplantae; Streptophyta; Magnoliopsida; Poales; Poaceae. The record is from RNAcentral.
GUAGCUAGCUAGCUCGCAUAGCACCACCAGUGACAGUGAGCAGACCGGAGAGAGGAAGAUGACGAUGAAGCAGCAGCAGGUGGUGGUGUGCGCAGUGCUGGUGCUGCUGGCCAUGGCGGGCGUCGCGUCGGCGGCGUCUUGCAACGUGGGUCAGCUGACGCCAUGCGCGUCGGCGCUGGCGACGGGCGCGACGCCGUCGGCGUCGUGCUGCUCGAGCCUGAAAGCGCAGCAGGGGUGCUUCUGCACGUACGCCAAGAACCCCACCUACGCGCGCUACAUCAACAGCCCCAACGCCAAGAAGGUGGUCGCCUCCUGCGGCCUCACCGUCCCGCGCUGCUAAUUUUGCUAUCAGCCCCGCCCGCUGCGCUCCAUCAUCCAUGCCCGCGAUGUUAU